GACGAACGCUGGCGGCGCGCUUAACACAUGCAAGUCGAACGGAAAGGCCCUGCUUUUGUGGGGUUCUCGAGUGGCGAACGGGUGCGUAACACGUGAGUAACCUGCCCUUGACUUUGGGAUAACUUCAGGAAACUGGGGCUAAUACCGUAUAGGAGCCCCUGCUGCAUGGUGGGGGUUGGAAAGUUUCGGCGGUCGGGGAUGGACUCGCGGCUGAUCAGCUUGUUGGUGGGGUAGUGGCUUACCAAGGCUUUGACGGGUAGCCGGCCUGAGAGGGUGACCGGCCACAUUGGGACUGAGAUACGGCCCAGACUCCUACGGGAGGCAGCAGUGGGGAAUAUUGCACAAUGGGCGGAAGCCUGAUGCAGCAACGCCGCGUGCGGGAUGACGGCCUUCGGGUUGUAAACCGCUUUCGCCUGUGACGAAGCGUGAGUGACGGUAAUGGGUAAAGAAGCACCGGCUAACUACGUG
This 468-nucleotide ribosomal RNA is filed under the name uncultured bacterium. RNAcentral describes it as "partial 16S ribosomal RNA". It matches the Rfam family "Bacterial small subunit ribosomal RNA", at positions 28 to 507 of the family's 1533-position model. The record is from RNAcentral.